AUUGAACGCUGGCGGCAUGCCUUACACAUGCAAGUCGAACGGCAGCACGGGUGCUUGCACCUGGUGGCGAGUGGCGAACGGGUGAGUAAUACAUCGGAACAUGUCCUGUAGUGGGGGAUAGCCCGGCGAAAGCCGGAUUAAUACCGCAUACGAUCUACGGAUGAAAGCGGGGGACCUUCGGGCCUCGCGCUAUAGGGUUGGCCGAUGGCUGAUUAGCUAGUUGGUGGGGUAAAGGCCUACCAAGGCGACGAUCAGUAGCUGGUCUGAGAGGACGACCAGCCACACUGGGACUGAGACACGGCCCAGACUCCUACGGGAGGCAGCAGUGGGGAAUUUUGGACAAUGGGCGAAAGCCUGAUCCAGCAAUGCCGCGUGUGUGAAGAAGGCCUUCGGGUUUUAAAGCACUUUUGUCCGGAAAGAAAUCCUUGGCCCUAAUACGGUCGGGGGAUGACGGUACCGGAAGAAUAAGCACCGGCUAACUACGUG
Molecule: ribosomal RNA, 486 nt
Filed under: uncultured bacterium
Lineage: Bacteria
Description: partial 16S ribosomal RNA
Rfam family: Bacterial small subunit ribosomal RNA
Source: RNAcentral